UUACAUUGCUUGCCAUCUGACGAUACAAUUCAGAGUAUGGGACUCCGGCGAGCCCGCGUCGAAUCUUCCGACGGCUGUUUCCAACGUCUCGCCGAAGCAACGUCGAGUUGUCAAGGGUGGAGUCCUUUCGGAGUCUCGGUAAUGAUCCUUCCGCAGGUUCACUGUCGAUGUUAGCGUUGCAAUUUGAAUUCAGAAAAUUGCUCACCCUACGGAAA
This 215-nucleotide unclassified non-coding RNA is filed under the name uncultured fungus. Its description in RNAcentral is "sequence contains ITS1, 5.8S rRNA gene". The record is from RNAcentral. Lineage: Eukaryota; Fungi.